Molecule: long non-coding RNA, 597 nt
Filed under: Marmota monax (woodchuck)
Lineage: Eukaryota; Metazoa; Chordata; Mammalia; Rodentia; Sciuridae
Source: RNAcentral
GUUAUGUUCUAGUUUGUGACACUAGAUAUGAACUCAUAUAGAAGUAUGAAUAGAAUUAGUUAAGUGGCCAAGAGAAUUAGUGACAUUAUUAUGCUCUCAUUUGAGUGUUCUUUCAUGUGUGGUUGGGCAAUUCAGAAUUACUUUGGGUUUUUUUUUUCAAAUUAUAUAUGACCCAUCUCCUUUCCAAGAGGCUUGAUUCUCUCCAUUUUAUCAGUUGAAAAUUAUUGCCCCAUCAUCUUCUCUAGCAAUUAGAGAAAUGCAAAUCAAAACUACUCUAAGAUAUCAUCUCACUCCAGUCAGAAUGGCAGCUAUUAUGAAGACAAACAACAUUAAGUGUUGACAAGGAUAUGGGGAAAAGGUACACUCAUACACUGCUGGUGGGACUGCAAAUCAGUACAGCCAAUAUGGAAAGCAGGAUGGAGAUUCCCUGGAAAUCCAGGAAUGGACCCAUAUAUCCUUCUCCUCGGAUUAUACCCAAAGGACUUAAAAACAGCAUGCUACAGGGACACAGCCACAUCAAUGUUUAUAGCAGCACAAUUCAUAAUAGCUAAACUGUGGAACCAACCUAGAUGCCCUUCAGUGGAUGAAUGGAUAAAA